GGUCCCGUAGCUCAGCAGGAUAGAGCACCAGAUUCCUAAUCUGGGGGUCAGAGGUUCGAAUCCUCUCGGGACCGCCA
This 77-nucleotide transfer RNA is filed under the name Rhodospirillaceae bacterium. RNAcentral's name for it is "tRNA-Arg". It matches the Rfam family "tRNA". Rfam says of the family: Transfer RNA (tRNA) molecules are approximately 80 nucleotides in length. Their secondary structure includes four short double-helical elements and three loops (D, anti-codon, and T loops). The record is from RNAcentral. Lineage: Bacteria; Pseudomonadati; Pseudomonadota; Alphaproteobacteria; Rhodospirillales; Rhodospirillaceae.